This 429-nucleotide ribosomal RNA is filed under the name Bacillota bacterium. Its description in RNAcentral is "Firmicutes bacterium partial 16S ribosomal RNA". It matches the Rfam family "Bacterial small subunit ribosomal RNA", at positions 355 to 776 of the family's 1533-position model. Lineage: Bacteria; Bacillati; Bacillota. The record is from RNAcentral.
UAGGGAAUCUUCGGCAAUGGACGGAAGUCUGACCGAGCAACGCCGCGUGAGUGAAGAAGGUUUUCGGAUCGUAAAGCUCUGUUGUUAGAGAAGAACGUUGGUAGGAGUGGAAAAUCUACCAAGUGACGGUAACUAACCAGAAAGGGACGGCUAACUACGUGCCAGCAGCCGCGGUAAUACGUAGGUCCCGAGCGUUGUCCGGAUUUAUUGGGCGUAAAGCGAGCGCAGGCGGUUCUUUAAGUCUGAAGUUAAAGGCAGUGGCUUAACCAUUGUACGCUUUGGAAACGGGAGGACUUGAGUGCAGAAGGGGGGAGGGGAAUUCCAUGGGUAGCGGUGAAAGGCGUGGAUAUAUGGAGGAACACCGGUGGGGAAAGCGGCACUCUGGUCUGUAACGGACGCUGAGGAUGGAAGGCGGGGGGAGCAAACAGG